Molecule: non-coding RNA, 787 nt
Filed under: Thermistis croceocincta
Lineage: Eukaryota; Metazoa; Arthropoda; Insecta; Coleoptera; Cerambycidae
Source: RNAcentral
AUAAAGUUUUAUUAUAAUUUGAAUAAUUAAGUUAAAUUUAAUAUUUACAUGCAAAUUUUUGUGUGAUGGGGGUAAUUUAUUUAAAUAGUGAAUAAUUAGGGGUUUAUUCGCAGUAGAUAAUUUUAAAUAUUAAUGAAAAUUAGAUUUAGGGAAAAUUUUUAAUAUAAACAAAAUUUGUGCCAGCAGUUGCGGUUAUACAAAUUAUAUAAUUUAAUUAGUAAUUAGUGUCAAUAUAUAAGUAUUUAGUAAAUUUUAAGGGGAAAAAUUUAUUAGGUGAAAUUUUAAAUUAUUUAAUAAAUUUAUAAUGACUUAUUAUUUGAGAAAUUUUUUUAAUAGACUAGGAUUAGAUACCCUAUUAUUAAAAAUGUAAAAAAUUAAACUAGAUUAGUAGUAGUUAUGUUCUUGAAAAUUAAAUAUUUUGGCGGUUUUUUAGUCUAUUCAGAGGAAUCUGUUCUAUAAAUGAUAGUCCACGAGUUAAAAGUUUUUUUUUAAUAGUUUAUAUAUCGUCGUAGUUUGAAUAUUUUAUUAGAAUUUUAAUAUUCAAAAUUUAUUUUUUUAAGGUAAAUCAGAUCAAGGUGUAGCGUAUAAAGAAGAAGAAAUGGAUUACAAUAAUGUUAAUUGAGGAGUAAUUUUUUGAGAAAAAAUAUGAAUUUGGAUUUGAAAGUAAUUUUAUUUAGAUUAAUAAAAUGAUUAUGGCUCUAAAAUAUGUACAUAUCGCCCGUCACUUUCAUUCUAAAGUGAAAUAAGUCGUAACAGAGUAGGUUUACUGGAAAGUGAAUCUGGAAAG